This 474-nucleotide ribosomal RNA is filed under the name uncultured bacterium. RNAcentral describes it as "partial 16S ribosomal RNA". It matches the Rfam family "Bacterial small subunit ribosomal RNA", at positions 28 to 507 of the family's 1533-position model. The record is from RNAcentral.
GAUGAACGCUAGCGGCAGGCCUAACACAUGCAAGUCGAGGGAGGAGCUUUCGGGCUUCGACCGGCGUACGGGUGCGUAACGCGUAUACAAUCUGCCUUUCACAUAGGGAUAGCCCGAAGAAAUUUGGAUUAAUACCUAAUGGUAUAUAGGAGUGGCAUCACAUUUAUAUUAAAGCUGAGGCGGUGAAAGAUGAGUAUGCGUUCUAUUAGCUAGUUGGAGAGGUAACGGCUCCCCAAGGCGACGAUAGAUAGGGGUUCUGAGAGGGAUAUCCCCCACACUGGUACUGGGAUACGGACCAGACUCCUACGGGAGGCAGCAGUGAGGAAUAUUGGACAAUGGUCGGAAGACUGAUCCAGCCAUGCCGCGUGCAGGAAGGCGGCCUUAUGGGUUGUAAACUGCUUUUGCAGGGGAAGAAUAAGGACUACGAGUAGUUUGAUGACGGUACUCUGCGAAUAAGCAGCGGCUAACUCCGUG